RNAcentral lists this non-coding RNA (26 nucleotides) under Cricetulus griseus (Chinese hamster). Lineage: Eukaryota; Metazoa; Chordata; Mammalia; Rodentia; Cricetidae. The record is from RNAcentral.
AUUUUCCCAGGAUGGUAUGAGAAUGC